GAUGAACGCUGGCGGCGUGCCUAAUACAUGCAAGUCGAGCGAACAGACGAGGAGCUUGCUCCUCUGACGUUAGCGGCGGACGGGUGAGUAACACGUGGAUAACCUACCUAUAAGACUGGGAUAACUUCGGGAAACCGGAGCUAAUACCGGAUAAUAUAUUGAACCGCAUGGUUCAAUAGUGAAAGACGGUUUUGCUGUCACGUAUAGAUGGAUCCGCGCCGCAUUAGCUAGUUGGUAAGGUAACGGCUUACCAAGGCGACGAUGCGUAGCCGACCUGAGAGGGUGAUCGGCCACACUGGAACUGAGACACGGUCCAGGCUCCUACGGGAGGCACCAGUAGGGAAUCUUCGGCAAUGGUCGAAAGCCUGACGGAGCAACCCCGCGUGAGUGAUGACGGUCUCCGGAUCGUAAAACUCUGUUAUUAGGGAAAAACAAAUUUGUACGUAACUAUGCACGUCUUGACGGUACCUAAUCAGAAAGCCACGGCUAACUACGUG
This 497-nucleotide ribosomal RNA is filed under the name uncultured bacterium. Its description in RNAcentral is "partial 16S ribosomal RNA". It matches the Rfam family "Bacterial small subunit ribosomal RNA", at positions 28 to 507 of the family's 1533-position model. The record is from RNAcentral.